UACGGAGGGGGCUAGCGUUAUUUGGAAUUACUGGGCGUAAAGCGCACGUAGGCGGCUUUGUAAGUUAGAGGUGAAAGCCCGGGGCUCAACCCCGGAAUUGCCUUUAAGACUGCAUCGCUUGAAUCCAGGAGAGGUGAGUGGAAUUCCGAGUGUAGAGGUGAAAUUCGUAGAUAUUCGGAAGAACACCAGUGGCGAAGGCGGCUCACUGGACUGGUAUUGACGCUGAUGUGCGAAAGCGUGGGGAGCAAACAGG
RNAcentral lists this ribosomal RNA (253 nucleotides) under uncultured bacterium. RNAcentral's name for it is "partial 16S ribosomal RNA". It matches the Rfam family "Bacterial small subunit ribosomal RNA", at positions 524 to 776 of the family's 1533-position model. The record is from RNAcentral.